Molecule: ribosomal RNA, 788 nt
Filed under: uncultured bacterium
Lineage: Bacteria
Description: bacterial SSU rRNA
Rfam family: Bacterial small subunit ribosomal RNA
Source: RNAcentral
AGAGUUUGAUCAUGGCUCAGGAUGAACGCUAGCGGGAGGCUUAACACAUGCAAGUCGAGGGGUAUCCCGAGCAAUCGGGGGAGACCGGCGCACGGGUGAGUAACGCGUAUGCAACCUGCCCUUUACAGGGGGAUAGCCCGGAGAAAUCCGGAUUAAUACCCCAUGGUACUUUUAUGCCGCAUGGCAUAAAGGUUAAAGUAACAACGGUAAGGGAUGGGCAUGCGUGACAUUAGUUAGUUGGCGGGGUAACGGCCCACCAAGGCGACGAUGUCUAGGGGUUCUGAGAGGAUGAUCCCCCACACUGGUACUGAGACACGGACCAGACUCCUACGGGAGGCAGCAGUGAGGAAUAUUGGUCAAUGGGCGAGAGCCUGAACCAGCCAUCCCGCGUGAAGGAAGAAUGUACUAUGUAUUGUAAACUUCUUUUCUGCAAGACGAAUAUGCCUUACGAGCUAAGGCAAUGACGGUAUUGCAGGAAUAAGCAUCGGCUAACUCCGUGCCAGCAGCCGCGGUAAUACGGAGGAUGCGAGCGUUAUCCGGAUUCAUUGGGUUUAAAGGGUGCGUAGGCGGUUUGUUAAGUCAGUGGUGAAAUCCUGCGGCUCAACCGUAGAACAGCCAUUGAUACUGAUCGACUUGAAUAUAGUUGAGGCAGGCGGAAUGAGUAGUGUAGCGGUGAAAUGCUUAGAUAUUACUCAGAACACCGAUUGCGAAGGCAGCUUGCUAAGCUAUGAUUGACGCUGAGGCACGAAAGCGUGGGGAUCGAACAGGAUUAGAUACCCUAGUAGUCC